UACGGAGGAUGCAAGCGUUAUCCGGAUUCAUUGGGUCUAAAGGGUGCGUAGGCGGCUUUUUAAGUCAGCGGUGAAAUUUUGCAGCUUAACUGUAACAGUGCCGUUGAUACUGGGGAGCUAGGAUUUGGUUGCUGUGGGUGGAAUGUGUGGUGUAGCGGUGAAAUGCUUAGAGAUCACACAGAAUAUCGAUUGCGAAGGCAGCUCACAAAGCCAAGAUUGACGCUGAGGCACGAAAGUGUGGGGAUCAAACA
Molecule: ribosomal RNA, 251 nt
Filed under: uncultured prokaryote
Description: partial 16S ribosomal RNA
Rfam family: Bacterial small subunit ribosomal RNA
Source: RNAcentral